CUUGCUUGGGGUACUCGAGUGGCGAACGGGUGAGUAAUACGUGGGUAACCUGCCCUCUUCUUUGGGAUAAGCCCCGGAAACGGGGUCUAAUACCGGAUAUUCUGCUUCUGCCGCAUGGUGGGGGUUGGAAAGGUUUUCGGUGGGGAUGGGCCCGCGGCCUAUCAGCUUGUUGGUGGGGUGAUGGCCUACCAAGGCUUCGACGGGUAGCCGGCCUGAGAGGGUUAUCGGCCACAUUGGAACUGAGACACGGUCCAAACUCCUACGGGAGGCAGCAGCC
RNAcentral lists this ribosomal RNA (277 nucleotides) under uncultured Arcanobacterium sp. RNAcentral describes it as "partial 16S ribosomal RNA". It matches the Rfam family "Bacterial small subunit ribosomal RNA", at positions 76 to 355 of the family's 1533-position model. Lineage: Bacteria; Bacillati; Actinomycetota; Actinomycetes; Actinomycetales; Actinomycetaceae. The record is from RNAcentral.